CCUACGGGAGGCAGCAGUGGGGAAUAUUGGACAAUGGGGGCAACCCUGAUCCAGCAAUUCUGUGUGCACGAUGAAGGUCUUCGGAUUGUAAAGUGCUUUCAGCAGGGAAGAAAAAAAUGACGGUACCUGCAGAAGAAGCGACGGCUAAAUACGUGCCAGCAGCCGCGGUAAUACGUAUGUCGCGAGCGUUAUCCGGAAUUAUUGGGCAUAAAGGGCAUCUAGGCGGCCGGAUAAGUCUGGGGUGAAAACUUGCGGCUCAACCGCAAGCCUGCCCUGGAAACUAUGCGGCUAGAGUACUGGAGAGGUGGACGGAACUGCACGAGUAGAGGUGAAAUUCGUAGAUAUGUGCAGGAAUGCCGAUGAUGAAGAUAGUUCACUGGACGGUAACUGACGCUGAAGUGCGAAAGCUAGGGGAGCAAACAGGAUUAGAUACCCUGGUAGUCCUAGCUGUAAACGAUGAUUACUGGGUGUGGGCAUGAAGAGUGUCCGUGCCGAAGCUAAUGCGAUAAGUAAUCCGCCUGGGGAGUACGACCGCAAGGUUGAAACUCAAAGGAAUUGACGG
This 562-nucleotide ribosomal RNA is filed under the name uncultured bacterium. RNAcentral describes it as "bacterial SSU rRNA". It matches the Rfam family "Bacterial small subunit ribosomal RNA", at positions 338 to 916 of the family's 1533-position model. The record is from RNAcentral.